GAGGAGCAGAAUAUAACAUGAAAAGCUAUAGCACUGGAAAAAGGCCAGCUGGUUCAACAUGCCAGUCCUUUUAAAGCAGAGGCAGAAAAAGAAGGGGGCUACGGAUCACUUAGACUAUGAUCAGUGAAACAGCAGCUGAUCAGAGAGGUGCAGUCUUUAGAACAAUGUUAGCUUUUGCAGACCCAGGAAGCAGAAUAAUAUUUUUCAAACUGAAGACCUCAUUCCCAUCGUAACAGAACAAACCUGCUGAACAGAUCUUUCAGAGCUGCAGAUCCUGUCCUCUCUCUGCCUGGCACGAACCCCAGCUCGACGGGCGUCGGCCGAGUUGCCUCAGCCCUGCAGGUCUGUGACCUCUGUUCCUGCCCAUACCACAUUCCUGUCCUCCGGGUGGAAACUGCGCGAGAAAGUGCAGGAUGCGCCUUGGCUUAGCUCACCCCGCUCCAGCCGCGCUGGCUCCCGCACUGAAUCCUGGUAAAAUGCAGUAAAGGAUUUAAGGUUAUCGUCUGUCUCUCUAACUUCUGACAUCUCUUUAUAACAAGAAAGAGUCACAGCCAACUGUAACAGGAGGGCAACACAAUGAAUCCUGGUGUUUUAUGAGAACAUGGAGCUGCAUAUCACAGUACCUUUUUUCCAUGGGUUAAGGGAAACUGUUCUAACAUUCCCAGCUUCUGCUGCCCAGGUACCUUCUGCUGAAGCAAUCCUUUGUUUCCAUGGAGGGGAACAUCCAGGUGUCGGCUGAAAAUUUGCCAUGCAUGAAGAAAAGCACCUGCUCUGGUUCCAAGGCACAUUAUGUGGCUGCAGAGGCUGGGGAUGUGAUCCUGUCCUUUACCUGAAACUUAAAAAUGUUAGUGAGUGAUGAAUUAUACUGACAAAUGUCUCUGAAUCAUGUGGGAAAUACCUCUGACAGAGGAAAGUCUUACCAAUAAUUGAGUUUUAGAGGCUUCUAAAAUGACCAAAACAGUAUUUGUUGAUACAUCUAGUUGUCCUGACUCUAAAGUUCAUGUCUUUGAGCCAGUCAGGAUUCCAGCUUUCCCCAAGAUUUCUGUCUUCCACUGUAAUGCACUCCUACAAAUCUUGUUGAUUGAUAUGUAUAUACAUUGCUUAAACAGAAAUUAAGGUUGUCAGGUGGAUAGCAAUAGGUUUGUCUUCAGGUGAGAUCAAGGACCAGCACUUCGGCACUGAAGCUAAGGGGAUGCUGAGAGAAGAAAAUGUGGAAAAGCUACCUGCUGUUCUGAGCAUGGAUGCUGCAAUGCUCAUGGUGGGGAGCAGGACUUGCUUGAAGAUUUUUUAGAGGUCGUUCAGGAAUUAGGAAGGAAUUUUUUACUGCAGUUUUGGCUCUACUGAGCCAAGCUGAAACAUGUUGUGUUCUUCUCUGCCCUCAGACCAUUUAGUGUUUGGCAAGCCUUCCUCUAAAAGAAAAAAAAUUAAAAGGAAGUACUGGAAGAAAAAAAAUUAAGUGGAAGACAUAAAAGAACACAUUUGUGUAUAUAUAUAUAUGUCUGUGUGUGCAUGAAUAUGUAGGUAUAUGUUUAUGGUUGAACAAUAGAAGAAAAAUUCCAAAGGUCAAACCCAGAACUUCUGAAAGGUGCCAGAGGCAAUAAAAGUGCUGGCAGGAGCCAUAUGGGGAACUGGAAGUUGCCAGCUCCUCCACGUAUUUUUUUAAGGUUUUAUCAUAUGAAACACUGUGUGCCAGGAAAAGUAUCUAGCGGCUUACUGUUGGGCACCACUUCUUCCCUCUCAUCCUUUUCUACCUCACUGCAACAGGAGCACUCCUUCUCAGUACCUUUACUCAGCUGGCAAGUUAUCUGUGAUGUGGAACUGAUCUAGGCAAGGACAGAGAGGCCAACCUGCAGGUGAAUAACAGAGCUGCACAGAAUUACUUCCUAUUCAAAUGGAAGCCCAGAACAAUCAGGCCUUUAAUGUGUUACAAGUCAUUUGACUAUCCACAUUUUUGACUUUCUGUAAAUAAUGUGCUAAAUGGAUAAAAGAAUAAACCAUUUUUCCUUCUU
Molecule: long non-coding RNA, 2009 nt
Organism: Catharus ustulatus (Swainson's thrush)
Lineage: Eukaryota; Metazoa; Chordata; Aves; Passeriformes; Turdidae
Exons: 6
Source: RefSeq, a predicted model, not a curated record